Molecule: unclassified non-coding RNA, 336 nt
Filed under: soil metagenome
Description: partial contains 5.8S ribosomal RNA, internal transcribed spacer 2, and large subunit ribosomal RNA
Rfam family: 5.8S ribosomal RNA (bases 1-120)
Source: RNAcentral
GAUGAAGAACGCAGCGAAAUGCGAUAAGUAAUGUGAAUUGCAGAAUUCAGUGAAUCAUCGAAUCUUUGAACGCACAUUGCGCCCGCCAUUAUUCUGGCGGGCAUGCCUGUUCGAGCGUCAUUUCAACCAUCAAGCCCCAGGCUUGUGUUGGGGACCUGCGGCUGCCGCAGGCCCUGAAAACCAGUGGCGGGCUCGCUGUCACACCGGGCGUAGUAGAUUUUAUCUCGCUCAGGGCGUGCUGCGGGUUCCGGCCGUUAAAAAGCCUUUUUUACCCAAGGUUGACCUCGGAUCAGGUAGGAAGACCCGCUGAACUUAAGCAUAUCAAUAAGCGGAGGA